CCCUUAGAUGUUCUGGGCUGCACGCGCGCUACACUGACGCACGCAACAGGUGCCUGCUCCGAGAGGACUGGGUAAUCAUUUGAGUGUGCGUCGUGAUGGGGAUAGAAUAUUGUAAUUAUUACUCUUCAACGAGGAAUUCCUAGUAAGCGCAAGUCAGCAGCUUGCGCUGAUUACGUCCCUGCCCUUUGUACACACCGCCCGUCGCUCCUACCGAUGGGUGAUCCGGUGAAUGAUUCGGACUUCAGCGGCUCCUCUGGGGUGCGCCGGAGAAAGUUUUGUGAACCUUGUCACUUGGAGGAAGGAGAAGUCGUAACA
RNAcentral lists this ribosomal RNA (315 nucleotides) under uncultured eukaryote. RNAcentral's name for it is "partial 18S ribosomal RNA". It matches the Rfam family "Eukaryotic small subunit ribosomal RNA", at positions 1470 to 1796 of the family's 1831-position model. The record is from RNAcentral.